Long non-coding RNA from Drosophila arizonae, 1056 nucleotides. NCBI's taxonomy places the organism in Eukaryota, Metazoa, Arthropoda, Insecta, Diptera, Drosophilidae. The record is from RefSeq and is a predicted model, not a curated record.
AGGGUAUAUUCAGCAAUGCUACACCCUGUAAAUGCGGACCAUUGGCCAAGUCUAAGGCAACGCCAUCGCACUAUUGAUUGGAGAUAAAUAGGAGGCAGCGAAAGUCUCGGAUGUUGCAUAUUCGAAAUACCAAAGUUUGUUCUUCAUGCGGCUAUUGAAUUUAUGCGGAUUUUUCUCGCGCUCCAAAUGGAAUUUCACACAAAUUGCGGCGUCCUGCAAUAGAGGGCGAGAAGUCAGCAUAGAAAGCAAAUCAGAAAUUGCAUUCGCACCUCUAGUGCAGGUGAUAUGCACAAAUAAAUGCAGAGAUACAAACAUGUGGGACGUGCUUCAAAACUUAUUGCCAGCUGCAGUGGCCUGCCAGUUCGAUUGCCUCGCCUCCUGAUAGUCAUGGGCAUGCAUAACGCAUACGCAGCGUAGGCCACAGCUCGAUUAUGUGAAACACAUUCAGGCAGUGCACGCAAUGCAUGCAGUGCAUGUAAGCGAGCUGGCAGAAUUUUAAUUUUUGCAUAUUCGGCUAGCGACGCAGCACUUGACACAGCAGCAGUCGGUGUGCUGGCCAAAUAUGCAAAAAUUGAGGCUGAACGGCAGACGGAGUGGGAACAGGACGAGGAGUAGCAACAGGUAGUGGGGAGGACGAGCAGCAAGAGUUGAAGAAGGAGAGUGCAGAUGCUGGAGCAAAAGAACGAGCGAUAGGAGCGAAUGUGACAGCAAAACCCAGGAGGAGGCUAAAGCCGCAGCCGGAGCAAGUGCUUGUGGCCCAGGGCUUUGAUUGCGCAUACGACACGUUGCACAUUUUGUAGGCGCAUUUAUUAUGCACGUCACAGCGCCCACACAACACACAGCACGAGCACUCACAAGCAACCCCCACAUACACAUACACACACACCCACCUACGCCUGCCUUGCUGGAAUAAGGGAAGCCGCUUUGGCAUUUACGUUUUGUGGCUGUUGCUCUCACAAAGCAAAAUAAGAUUAAUUACACGGAUCCAAAGCCAAAAAUUGAAUUAUCAGGCUAAAGAGUGGGCGAGUGUGUGGAAGCGACUGUGUGUGUCUGUGU